This 247-nucleotide ribosomal RNA is filed under the name uncultured bacterium. RNAcentral describes it as "partial 16S ribosomal RNA". It matches the Rfam family "Bacterial small subunit ribosomal RNA", at positions 524 to 770 of the family's 1533-position model. The record is from RNAcentral.
UACGAAGGGGGCUAGCGUUGUUCGGAAUUACUGGGCGUAAAGCGCGUGUAGGCGGGUCUUUAAGUCAGGGGUGAAAUGCCAAGGCUCAACCUUGGAACUGCCUUUGAUACUGGAGAUCUUGAGUCCGGGAGAGGUGAGUGGAAUUGCGAGUGUAGAGGUGAAAUUCGUAGAUAUUCGCAAGAACACCAGUGGCGAAGGCGGCUCACUGGCCCGGAACUGACGCUGAGACGCGAAAGCGUGGGGAGCA